CAACCAUGAAAAGUUUGAGAGACCAUGCAAACCACAAGAAAUGAUGUGCUCCUGUUAUUUUGCCAUGAUCUUGUGGCCCAAUUCCAAGGCUCUAUCAACUAAUGUUAGCUACUUGCUUCUUUGGAUGCCUUAAUUAGAGCCAGCGAGGAAGAUGGGGAAGACAGAGCCAGCAAGGAAGAUGGCUCGGCCCUGCCGCUGAUGCCCACCGGCCACUUCCGUCAGGCUCCGUCGUGGGAGGGGGCGCACCAUUUUUGGGUGUUCCUUCCUACAGCUAUCUUGACCAUUUGCUUUGGAAGGAGUAAUUCAACUCAGGAAGAACAAAUAAUUUGAGACUUUUUGUCUUUCCUACGAUCUGUUCAGGAACUGUAUCACAACAGAUCAUUGGCAUUGUAGCUUCAGUGGACAUGUAUGCUGAAUAUCCCCUCACUGGACAAUAUUGGAUUUUAGUGUAUACAAGCCCUCCUCUCAGCUGCUUAGGCAUAAACACCUUACUGCAAAUGUUCUUCGUGUCUCGCCUCCCCAUCGUGAUGGGUGGCUCCUACAGCUUCGCCAUGCCAACCAUCUCCAUCAUCUUGGCUGGACGCUACGACAUGUGGGAGAUCCUCACGAGUUUAACACAUAUUGAAGGGUGGGAGGAUAUACCGGUGCAAUGGAUGAACCAAGACUACCAAGAGGUCAACUGCGUGAGUAUAUGCCAACUUGAGUACAUAUGGCAUGAGACUGACGCCGAUUAGUUCCUCCCUGAAUGCUUGACUGCCAGGAUAUUAUUUGCAGAUUUUAGGAAAGGAAACCUGACAGAGUUUCAGGGAAGUGGGGCGGUGAGACCAGAAGCUGGGUGAUCAAAGCAACUACAUGAUGCAUCUCUGUCUAUGUAGCUGUUUACCAUAAGCUGGGUGAUCAAAGCAAUCUACAUGACGCAUCUCUGUCUAUGUAGCUGUUUACCAUAAGCUGGGUGAUCAAAGCAAUCUACAUGAUGCAUCUCUGUCUAUGUAGCUGUUUUACCAUAAGCUGGGUGAUCAAAGCAAUCUACAUGAUGCAUCUCUGUCUAUGUAGCUGUUUACCAUAAGCUGGGUGAUUAAAACAAUCUACAUGAUGCAUCUCUGUCUAUGUAGCUUUACUUAGCAUAAACUGAUCUUAAUGACUUUGUUUAAACCUAUGAGCCUACCAUCUACGUAGCUUCAUACCAUCUAUAUAAUGUGUCCCUUCCUAUCUACUUCCAUUGUGUAUCACAUUGUAACG
Triticum dicoccoides is the source of this 1239-nucleotide long non-coding RNA. RefSeq lists it as uncharacterized. The record is from RefSeq and is a predicted model, not a curated record. The transcript is spliced from 6 exons. NCBI's taxonomy places the organism in Eukaryota, Viridiplantae, Streptophyta, Magnoliopsida, Poales, Poaceae.